Molecule: small RNA, 27 nt
Filed under: Bombyx mori (domestic silkworm)
Lineage: Eukaryota; Metazoa; Arthropoda; Insecta; Lepidoptera; Bombycidae
Description: ovarian small RNA-24498
Source: RNAcentral
UCAAAUGGAAGUAGAUGGUAUUUGGGA